This 465-nucleotide ribosomal RNA is filed under the name uncultured bacterium. RNAcentral describes it as "partial 16S ribosomal RNA". It matches the Rfam family "Bacterial small subunit ribosomal RNA", at positions 339 to 795 of the family's 1533-position model. The record is from RNAcentral.
CUACGGGUCGCUGCAGUGGGGAAUAUUGGACAAUGGGGGAAACCCUGAUCCAGCAAUGCCGCGUGUGUGAAGAAGGCCUGCGGGUUGUAAAGCACUUUCGGUUGGGAGGACUGCUUCUAGCACUAAUAUUGUUGGAAGUUGACGUUACCUUCAGAAGAAGCACCGGCUAACUCCGUGCCAGCAGCCGCGGGAAUACGGAGGGUGCACGCGUUAAUCGGAAUUACUGGGCGUAAAGCGCGCGUAGGCGGCUAGAUCAGUCGGGUGUGAAAGCCCCGGGCUUAACCUGGGAACUGCAUCCGAUACUGUCUAGCUUGAGUACAGGAGAGGAGAGUGGAAUUCCACAUGUAGCGGUGAAAUGCGUAGAUAUGUGGAGGAACACCAAUGGCGAAGGCAGCUCUCUAGCCUGAUACUGACGCUGAGGUGCGAAAGCGUGGGGAGCAAACAGGAUUAGAUACCCCCGUAGUC